GAUGAACGCUAGCGAUAGGCUUAACACAUGCAAGUCGAGGGGUAACGUGUUGGAAGCUUGCUUCCGAUGACGACGACCGGCGGAUGGGUGCGUAACGCGUAUGCAACUUGCCUCACAGUGGAGAAUAACCCGGAGAAAUCCGGACUAAUACUCCAUACACUCUUAAGUACGCCUGUACAUGAGAGGAAAGAUUUAUCGCUGUGAGAUAGGCAUGCGUCCUAUUAGGUAGUUGGUGAGGUAACGGCUCACCAAGCCGACGAUAGGUAGGGGUGCUGAGAGGCAGAUCCCCCACAUUGGGACUGAGACACGGCCCAAACUCCGACGGGAGGCAGCAGUGAGGAAGAUUAGUCAAUGGAGGAAACUCUGAACCAGCCAAGUCGCGUGAAGGAAGAAUGUCCUAAGGAUUGUAAACUUCUUUAGCGAGCGAGUAAGGACUUCCACGUGAUGGGAGUUUGAAAGUAGCUCGAGAAUAAGUAUCGGCUAACUCCGUG
This 491-nucleotide ribosomal RNA is filed under the name uncultured bacterium. RNAcentral's name for it is "partial 16S ribosomal RNA". It matches the Rfam family "Bacterial small subunit ribosomal RNA", at positions 28 to 507 of the family's 1533-position model. The record is from RNAcentral.